GAUAGCAGCGAGAGCAACAUGUUGACGGCAGCCUGAAGAGACUCUGAAUCAGACGACCGAGGAAUAAUGUUUCCAGAUGACAGAAGUCUUCGGAUACUUCAACUCAGAUCAAUCUGUAAAUCCAUAGAAUGUGACCUUGCCACUCUGGAGACCACUCACUAAAUAAAGGCUUGAAUUAGACCAUGUGGGCAUAUCCUGGCUCCGCCAUCAAUUAGUUCUGGGACACAGGAAGACUUUUACUCUCCCUGGGCUUGAUUUCUCCAUCAUGAAAUGGUCUCCCCCAGCAACAACAGUCGGACUCUCACUACCACUUCCGUGCAUAUGGCACACUGCAGAAUGUGUCUUUGGAACCCUGAGAUGCCGUACCGGAAGUCCAGCUACCUGAAGCCACCAUGCUGGGGAGUCCACAAAGCGAAUGAUACUGGAGACAUUGUGCCAGCUGUUCUCACCCCCAGAGCCAGCUGAAGCCAAAUGGAGCAGUAAUGACCUACUGCCAAUUCCUGUCCAAAUAGUACAUUCAUAAUUAAAAUAAAUAUUGCUACAGCUGUAUGUAAGUAAAUAUCAGUGAGGUUUGUUACAUCAAUAACAACAAUACAAUGAAUCUUCAUGGAGCAGGGGGAUAUAUGAUGAAAAGGAGAAAUAUAUUUUAAGAUCCUGUAGUUUGAAAUUAAAACAAAUAUUCUUUACUGUAACAAACCCAGUUUUUUCCAUUUCCAAGAUUUAUUUAGCCCCACAUGCCUCCUGAGCCACCUCCUCAAUGGAGAGCUCCAACAGUUCUGUCUCCUGGUCUUCUACAACUACUGUCUUUUUGUCUUUUUCAGUAUUCCUCCAGGGGAGGAUCAGCCCUCAGCAGGGACUCUAUUGUACCCACUACAGGGAGCCAGCUACAACAGCUGCAGUGCUGUAUAAUCCAAGUGUCUACAGAGUCCCUGGUCCCUCUUGGCAAUAAUUAAACCAAAAGAGAGCACUGGUUAUCACAUGGUUUAAUAGAUAGGAUAAUUCGGCACGAGAAAAUGUUAAUUAUAGUGGCCAAUGUUAUUUUUGCUACUCAGCAUCUAUUAACCCACCAUCUGGUAACUUUAACUUAAUUUUGUUUAUUGUUUUCCAACUUGGAACGUAGGGCUUAUUAAAUGUGACCUCUCCACUGAUUUGCAAAUGUUGGAUGCGAGGGAAAAUACAAGAUUUCCUUGUUGACACAUACCACUAAAUGUAAAAGCCUAGAUCCAUAAAGCCAGUUUCCAAGGCUUAAGGGUAAAUGUUUUAUACUAGAAUAUGCUAUGAGCCUACAAGAAGAAUCUAAAUUAAACACAACCACAUUUUUCUUGCUAAUGCACCUACUACUUUAUCUUAAGGCAUUGGAUUAUUGUUAUGGUGUUUAAUCUGAUUCUAGUGCAGCAAAAGUAGGGUUGUAAUUAGGAACAACUUUAGAAAGCUUAAAUGUUUAUAGGACAGAUUAUUUGAUUAGUUGUUACAUUAUGUAAACAUUCAACAAAGUCAUAACCGAGAGAGAGAGAAAGGGCAAGAGAUAGAGUGAAGAGAGUUAUGAUUGUAUUAAAAGUUCAGCUUUUCAGUCUGUUCAGGGAUUAACUUGACUGAUAGGCCUAUGAUCUGAACUGUAAUUUAGGUUUUUCAAGGAUAACAUGUUCUCUGGAGUAGUAAGAAAAUCUUGUUGCAGUAUUUUUCCUAUACUUCCCUUAUACCUGCAGAACAUAAUUUUGUGUGCAUGGGGAGGAUAUGAUCACUGUACCUGAAGACUGCUCUUUAUUGUAGUAAUGGGGCCAUGUGUCACUGUUUUCACGGAAAGUGUCCAGUUUCCAGGACCAAAAAAAGGACCCAUUGUGCAAGGGAAAGUCAUUAUUAAUUUAGAUACAAUUUUAUUUCCGAACACUUGUCCUAGUAGUUCCAUCUCCUCAAGACCUCUUGUUAAGCCAACCAAACAAUAAUGAAGGUCCCAACCCCAUACACACUUUCUGACAUGCAAUCAAAAAUCAA
This is a long non-coding RNA of Homo sapiens (human), 1992 nucleotides long. The record is from Ensembl. Lineage: Eukaryota; Metazoa; Chordata; Mammalia; Primates; Hominidae.